Molecule: long non-coding RNA, 1086 nt
Organism: Parus major (Great Tit)
Lineage: Eukaryota; Metazoa; Chordata; Aves; Passeriformes; Paridae
Exons: 3
Source: RefSeq, a predicted model, not a curated record
CAGCCAAAGAUGGAAUUUCUCUGUUCCUGGAACAUCUGGUGUAGGCUCUCAAUGCUCGUAAUUAUCCUCCCAGUCCCAGCCCUCUGCAGGUGCAGGGAAGUGCAGGGCAGGUUCUCUGAGAAUACAGCUCUACAGUCCAUCUAUAAAUCUUAGCGAAACACAUGCCAUAGGAUUUAACAUGCAUUUAUGUUUUUAAAAUUUUCACUGAGAAAGCAAUACCAGUUGGAAUAAUGUUACAUUAUAAGGUUAGGAAGCCUUGGGCAAAAUCUCAAGCUCUUAGUAAAUGUAGGGCUUUCUAUUGCAAUAAAAGCCUUCAUGUCAGCAUCUUAAGCUGCUGUAUCACUUAUGCCUUUACACUCAGUCAAUUUUUACCUCUUCUCUCAACACAGACUUCUCAGGCAUUUGUCUUCACCUGCAGCUCCUCUCUCACCAGCUGACCCCUUGCUGUCCUCAUCUUGCACGGCAGCUCCAGGAAAACCUUCCCACAUGUGGCAGUGCUCACUGGCUCUCAGACAGGCUCUGACCUGUGAAUGUUGUGUGAGCCAUGACCUGUUCCUGGUUUGGCUCAGCACGGCUUGCCUGGACAGAUGAUAUUCUUUAUUUAUUUGUACAAAAUGAAACAGAUUCACCAUCAAGGUUUGCAAGAUUAACAAAAUAUUCAGUGGACAGGAAUUUAAGGCACAGUUGAAGAAUGAGAAGAAUUUGCUACCCAGCACUCCACACUUUGUGACUGGUGAUUUUGGGGAGCUGCUCCAUGUGCUCACCACAUGCCUUUGGGAUAGAGUUUCUCAGGCGAUGCAGAUGGAGGAACUGUGCUUGAGAAUCCUUCCAGGAAUGAAUUAGACAUGGAGAAUUCAGCUCUGCUGACACAGCAAGGCUCCUGGACAAGCCCAGAAGUGAAACUUUAGCACCUGGUUUAACACUGGAAGCAGAGGACUGUAGAGGAAGCUGAGGAAUCUUUGGAUGCAGGCACAUUACGGAAUUUCUGUGACAGUAACCCAUGAAAUUUCCUGGGUUUGUCUCCUUUGAAGUCUCCAAGAACUCUCUACCAUCACUAUGGAAGAUUGCAUUCCAAAUGUAAACAGA